This 1990-nucleotide small RNA is filed under the name Pongo abelii (Sumatran orangutan). Its description in RNAcentral is "processed transcript". Lineage: Eukaryota; Metazoa; Chordata; Mammalia; Primates; Hominidae. The record is from RNAcentral.
GAUGCGAGCGCAGACGGGAUCCCGCCCCCUCCUGUCGUUUUGCGGGGUGGGGCCUCUGUUGUGGGGGCGGGACAUUGGUGGUGGGCGGGGCUUCUAAGACGAUGCCCUGUGGGGGCUUGGGCUUUGCCCAAAAUUGGCUCCGAAGUGUGGGAAACGCUUCCGAGCUGAGAUGCUACGGCGUGGGGUGUAUGUGAAUGGAGGCUACUGUGUUACUGUGAAGAGGAGGACGAAGAGGUCCCAACAGGACAUCUUACUGUCGAAAUCCGCUCUGUGAGCCAGGAUCCUCGGGGGGCUCUGGUGGAAGCCACACUUCCAGCGCAUCGGUGACCAGUGUUCGUUCCCGCACCAGGAGCAGUUCUGGAACAGGCCUCUCCAGCCCUCCUCUGGCCACCCAAACUGUUGUGCCUCUACAGCACUGCAAGAUCCCCGAGCUGCCAGUCCAGGCCAGCAUUCUGUUUGAGUUGCAGCUCUUCUUCUGCCAGCUCAUAGCACUCUUCGUUCACUACAUCAACAUCUACAAGACAGUGUGGUGGUAUCCACCUUCCCACCCACCCUCCCACACCUCCCUGAACUUCCAUCUGAUCGACUUCAACUUGCUGAUGGUGACCACCAUUGUUCUGGGCCGCCGCUUCAUUGGGUCCAUCGUGAAGGAGGCUUCUCAGAGGGGGAAGGUCUCCCUCUUUCGCUCCAUCCUGCUGUUCCUCACUCGCUUCACCGUUCUCACGGCAACAGGCUGGAGUCUGUGCCGAUCCCUCAUCCACCUCUUCAGGACCUACUCCUUCCUGAACCUCCUGUUCCUCUGCUAUCCGUUUGGGAUGUACAUUCCGUUCCUGCAGCUGAAUUGCGACCUCCGCAAGACAAGCCUCUUCAACCACAUGGCCUCCGUGGGGCCCCGGGAGGCGGUCAGCGGCCUGGCGAAGAGCCGGGACUACCUCCUGACACUGCGAGAGACGUGGAAGCAGCACACAAGACAGUUGUAUGGCCCGGACGCCAUGCCCACCCAUGCCUGCUGCCUGUCGCCCAGCCUCAUCCGCAGCGAGGUGGAGUUCCUCAAGAUGGACUUCAACUGGCGCAUGAAGGAAGUGCUCGUCAGCUCCAUGCUGAGUGCCUACUAUGUGGCCUUUGUGCCUGUCUGGUUCGUGAAGAACACACAUUACUAUGACAAGCGCUGGUCCUGUGAACUCUUCCUGCUGGUGUCCAUCAGCACCUCCGUGAUCCUCAUGCAGCACCUGCUGCCUGCCAGCUACUGUGACCUGCUGCACAAGGCCGCCGCCCAUCUGGGCUGUUGGCAGAAGGUGGACCCAGCGCUGUGCUCCAACGUGCUGCAGCACCCACUGGAAGCUCCUCAAGGCCAGGAUCACCUCGGAAGCACAUCUGAGUCUUGGGCCCAGGACAAGGCUUGGCAGAGAGGAGGCCCCUAGGACAGGUUUGCAGAGGUGGACUGAAGAAUGCAUGUGGCCGCAGGGCGUGCUGGUGAAGCACAGCAAGAACGUCUACAAAGCCGUAGGCCACUACAACGUGGCUAUCCCCUCUGACGUCUCCCACUUCCGCUUCCAUUUCUUUUUCAGCAAACCCCUGCGGAUCCUCAACAUCCUCCUGCUGCUGGAGGGCGCUGUCAUUGUCUACCAGCUGUACUCCCUAAUGUCCUCUGAAAAGUGGCACCAGACCAUCUCGCUGGCUCUCAUCCUCUUCAGCAACUACUAUGCCUUCUUCAAGCUGCUCCGGGACCGCUUGGUACUGGGCAAGGCCUACUCAUACUCUGCUAGCCCCCAGAGAGACCUGGACCACCGUUUCUCCUGAGCCCUGGGGUGACCUCAGGGACAGCGUCCAGGCUUCAGCCAGGGGCUCCCUGGCAAGGGGCUGUUGGGUAGGAGUUGGGGGGGGAACAAAAGACAAAAAAAUCCACCAGAGCUUUGUAUUUUUGUUACGUACUGUUUCUUUGAUAAUUGAUGUGAUAAGGAAAAAAGUCCUAUUUUUAUACUCCCAACAA